Molecule: non-coding RNA, 140 nt
Organism: Camelus dromedarius (Arabian camel)
Lineage: Eukaryota; Metazoa; Chordata; Mammalia; Artiodactyla; Camelidae
Source: Ensembl
CGGCUCAGUUUCCUGGGAGGUGGGCUAAGCCUGCCCCACCUCCCCUCACAUGAGCCUAGAGCAGAGAGGCUAGGCUCCCUUCCGCACAGGAGAGGCGGUUAAGACAGGAGUCUCGCCUGUGUUGUCCUUGCCUCACAUUU